RNAcentral lists this ribosomal RNA (448 nucleotides) under uncultured bacterium. RNAcentral's name for it is "bacterial SSU rRNA". It matches the Rfam family "Bacterial small subunit ribosomal RNA", at positions 64 to 507 of the family's 1533-position model. The record is from RNAcentral.
GAGCGGAUGAAGGGAGCUUGCUCCUGGAUUCAGCGGCGGACGGGUGAGUAAUGCCUAGGAAUCUGCCUGGUAGUGGGGGACAACGUUUCGAAAGGAACGCUAAUACCGCAUACGUCCUACGGGAGAAAGCAGGGGACCUUCGGGCCUUGCGCUAUCAGAUGAGCCUAGGUCGGAUUAGCUAGUUGGUGAGGUAAUGGCUCACCAAGGCGACGAUCCGUAACUGGUCUGAGAGGAUGAUCAGUCACACUGGAACUGAGACACGGUCCAGACUCCUACGGGAGGCAGCAGUGGGGAAUAUUGGACAAUGGGCGAAAGCCUGAUCCAGCCAUGCCGCGUGUGUGAAGAAGGUCUUCGGAUUGUAAAGCACUUUAAGUUGGGAGGAAGGGUUGUAGAUUAAUACUCUGCAAUUCUGACGUUACCGACAGAAUAAGCACCGGCUAACUCUGUG